This 253-nucleotide ribosomal RNA is filed under the name uncultured bacterium. RNAcentral's name for it is "partial 16S ribosomal RNA". It matches the Rfam family "Bacterial small subunit ribosomal RNA", at positions 524 to 776 of the family's 1533-position model. The record is from RNAcentral.
UACAGAGGGUGCAAGCGUUAAUCGGAAUUACUGGGCGUAAAGCGUGCGUAGACGGUUAUGUAAGUCGGGUGUGAAAGCCCCGGGCUCAACCUGGGAAUGCCAUUCGAGACUGCAUAGCUAGGGUACGGAAGAGGGAAGCGGAAUUUCAGGUGUAGCGGUGAAAUGCGUAGAUAUCUGAAGGAACACCAGUGGCGAAAGCGGCUUCCUGGUCCAGUACCGACGUUCAGGCACGAAAGCGUGGGGAGCAAACAGG